AGGCGCGUGGCUCAUUGGUGGAGUGUGUGCCUGCCAUACACAAGUCCCUGGGUUCAGAUCCCAGCACCACUA
This 72-nucleotide transfer RNA is filed under the name Cavia porcellus (domestic guinea pig). It matches the Rfam family "tRNA". Rfam says of the family: Transfer RNA (tRNA) molecules are approximately 80 nucleotides in length. Their secondary structure includes four short double-helical elements and three loops (D, anti-codon, and T loops). Lineage: Eukaryota; Metazoa; Chordata; Mammalia; Rodentia; Caviidae. The record is from Rfam by way of RNAcentral.